CAAUCAGAGCUGGAAAGCCAAUAUGCUCACCGCCAUAAAACUGAAAAGAGAGCUCAUUGUGCCUUGGGCACAGCAUCAGGUUUAAUAGAAAAGUAGGCAUGUUUAUAGUCCCAGAUUUACAACAUGACUUAUAAACACCUUAUUACUUAGAGUCCAGUCUGCUGUCCUAGAAACUAAGAAUGUGACUUUGUUAAGCAGAAGGAUUUGUUGACAUAAAGGUCUUGACUCAGUUGGCCUUUGUGGUUAACCAAAAUGCAUUUACUCCUGAGAAAGUCAACACCAGCAAACAAAAUGCCUCUUAUACUACAAUACGGCAAAGGAGAAAGAACCCAACCACAAAACAAUUACUAUGGGAAUUGGAAAAAACAGAACUUAUCUUCAGAGGAGGAAAAUGAAAUUUAAAAAAGUCUCUCCUACACCAAAGAUUAAUGUUAAAUGGUCUCUUGCCCCAAAAGAACUCAAAAAAAGACUUUAAAAAUCAAAUGAGAAAGAGUGAAGAAAAACAAUUUUUAAAAGUAAGAACUAUACCAAAAAGGCUUGAUUAAGUCAACCAACUAGAUAAGAAGAUAUUGUGCCUAAGGAAAAAAAAUAAGCUUUGAAAAUUAGAAUCGGGCAAAGGGGAGCCAACAAAGUUAUAAAAUUAUGAUAAAAGAAAAUUUUAAAAGUGAAAACAUGUAAGACAUCUCAUAAACAAGCAAUAGAUCUGGAAAACAGAUAAAGUGAGAAAAUAUAAGAAUAAUUGGACUACUUGAAAGCUAUCAUCAAAAAGAAAGACUUGAGUAAAAUAAUAUAAGAAAAUAAUUAAAGAAAAUUGUCCUGAAGUAUUUGAACAAGAGGGGAAAGUAAAUUAGAAAAAAAUCCACCUAUUUUCCACCAGGAAAAGCUAUUGGAAUAACAUUGCUAAAUUCCCAAACUCCCAGAUCAAAGAGAAAAUUUUUCAAAUACCAUUACCAAAAAUAAUAAUAAAACUUAAAAAUUCAUAUACAGUGGAGCCGCAAUUAGACUCAUACUAUGAACAAUUACAAUAAAAGACCACAGGUCUUGGAAUACUAUAUAUUGAAGAUCAAAAGAAGUAGAGUUGUGGCAGAAAAUUUCAUAUCUACAAAAAUUAAACAUAACUCUGAAUAUGAAAAAAAAGAAUAUUCAGGGAAUUGCCACACUUUCAGGAUUUUGUUGCAAAAACCUCCUUGAACUUAAUAGCAAAUUUAACAUAUAAGAUCCAAGAGAAAUAUCAAGUAAAUAUCAAAGACUAAUUUCAAAGGGACUCAAUAAGGAUAAAUUGUUUGUUUUACACGUGGAAAUAUAAACCAUAUGUCUUAA
Molecule: long non-coding RNA, 1320 nt
Organism: Antechinus flavipes (yellow-footed antechinus)
Lineage: Eukaryota; Metazoa; Chordata; Mammalia; Dasyuromorphia; Dasyuridae
Exons: 2
Source: RefSeq, a predicted model, not a curated record